AGUGAACGCUGGCGGUAUGCCUAACACAUGCAAGUCGAACGGCAGCACAGUAAGAUCUUGCUCUUACCGGUGGCGAGUGGCGGACGGGUGAGGAAUACAUCGGAUUCUUCUAUUUCUUGGGUGACAACGUAGGGACACUUACGCUAAUACCGCAUAUGACCUACGGGAUAGAGCAGUGGAUCUUGAGACCUUUCGCGAUAGUAUUAGCCGACGUCGGAUUAGCUAGUUGGCUAGGUAAGGGCACACCAAGGCGACGAUACGUAGCCGGUCUGAGAGGAUGAUCAGCCACACUGGAACUGAGACACGGUCCAGACUCCUACGGGAGGCAGCAGUAGGGAAUAUUCCGCAAUGGGCGCAAGCUUGACCCAGCAACACCGCGUGGGUGAUGAAGGCCUUCGGGUCGUAAAGCUCUGUUAUUGGGGAAGAAAAAAAGCAGGAUAAUCUACGGAUGUCUUGACGGUACCCAAAGAAUAAGCACCGGCUAACUUCGUG
Molecule: ribosomal RNA, 492 nt
Filed under: uncultured bacterium
Lineage: Bacteria
Description: partial 16S ribosomal RNA
Rfam family: Bacterial small subunit ribosomal RNA
Source: RNAcentral